UUGAACGCUGGCGGCAGGCCUAACACAUGCAAGUCGAACGGUAACAGGAAACAGCUUGCUGUUUCGCUGACGAGUGGCGGACGGGUGAGUAAUGUCUGGGAAACUGCCUGAUGGAGGGGGAUAACUACUGGAAACGGUAGCUAAUACCGCAUAACGUCGCAAGACCAAAGAGGGGGACCCUCGGGCCUCUUGCCAUCGGAUGUGCCCAGAUGGGAUUAGCUUGUUGGUGGGGUAACGGCUCACCAAGGCGACGAUCCCUAGCUGGUCUGAGAGGAUGACCAGCCACACUGGAACUGAGACACGGUCCAGACUCCUACGGGAGGCAGCAGUGGGGAAUAUUGCACAAUGGGCGCAAGCCUGAUGCAGCCAUGCCGCGUGUAUGAAGAAGGCCUUCGGGUUGUAAAGUACUUUCAGCGGGGAGGAAGGGAGUAAAGUUAAUACCUUUGCUCAUUGACGUUACCCGCAGAAGAAGCACCGGCUAACUCCGUGCCAGCAGCCGCGGUAAUACGGAGGGUGCAAGCGUUAAUCGGAAUUACUGGGCGUAAAGCGCACGCAGGCGGUUUGUUAAGUCAGAUGUGAAAUCCCCGGGCUCAACCUGGGAACUGCAUCUGAUACUGGCAAGCUUGAGUCUCGUAGAGGGGGGGUAGAAUUCCAGGUGUAGCGGUGAAAUGCGUAGAGAUCUGGAGGAAUACCGGUGGCGAAGGCGGCCCCCUGGACGAAGACUGACGCUCAGGUGCGAAAGCGUGGGGAGCAAACAGGAUUAGAUACCCUGGUAGUCCACGCCGUAAACGAUGUCGACUUGGAGGUUGUGCCCUUGAGGCGUGGCUUCCGGAGCUAACGCGUUAAGUCGACCGCCUGGGGAGUACGGCCGCAAGGUUAAAACUCAAAUGAAUUGACGGGGGCCCGCACAAGCGGUGGAGCAUGUGGUUUAAUUCGAUGCAACGCGAAGAACCUUACCUGGUCUUGACAUCCACGGAAGUUUUCAGAGAUGAGAAUGUGCCUUCGGGAACCGUGAGACAGGUGCUGCAUGGCUGUCGUCAGCUCGUGUUGUGAAAUGUUGGGUUAAGUCCCGCAACGAGCGCAACCCUUAUCCUUUGUUGCCAGCGGUCCGGCCGGGAACUCAAAGGAGACUGCCAGUGAUAAACUGGAGGAAGGUGGGGAUGACGUCAAGUCAUCAUGGCCCUUACGACCAGGGCUACACACGUGCUACAAUGGCGCAUACAAAGAGAAGCGACCUCGCGAGAGCAAGCGGACCUCAUAAAGUGCGUCGUAGUCCGGAUUGGAGUCUGCAACUCGACUCCAUGAAGUCGGAAUCGCUAGUAAUCGUGGAUCAGAAUGCCACGGUGAAUACGUUCCCGGGCCUUGUACACACCGCCCGUCACACCAUGGGAGUGGGUUGCAAAAGAAGUAGGUAGCUUAACCUUCGGGAGGGCGCUUACCACUUUGUGAUUCAUGACUGGGGUGA
This 1465-nucleotide ribosomal RNA is filed under the name uncultured bacterium. RNAcentral describes it as "bacterial SSU rRNA". It matches the Rfam family "Bacterial small subunit ribosomal RNA". The record is from RNAcentral.